UACGUAGGGUGCAAGCGUUAAUCGGAAUUACUGGGCGUAAAGCGUGCGCAGGCGGUUAUGUAAGACAGGUGUGAAAUCCCCGGGCUUAACCUGGGAACUGCAUUUGUGACUGCAUAGCUAGAGUACGGUAGAGGGGGAUGGAAUUCCGCGUGUAGCAGUGAAAUGCGUAGAUAUGCGGAGGAACACCGAUGGCGAAGGCAGCCCCCUGGGCCAACACUGACGCUCAGGCACGAAAGCGUGGGGAGCAAACAGG
RNAcentral lists this ribosomal RNA (253 nucleotides) under uncultured bacterium. Its description in RNAcentral is "partial 16S ribosomal RNA". It matches the Rfam family "Bacterial small subunit ribosomal RNA", at positions 524 to 776 of the family's 1533-position model. The record is from RNAcentral.